Molecule: long non-coding RNA, 401 nt
Organism: Folsomia candida
Lineage: Eukaryota; Metazoa; Arthropoda; Collembola; Entomobryomorpha; Isotomidae
Exons: 2
Source: RefSeq, a predicted model, not a curated record
AACUCCUUAGAAAAAAUAGAAGGAGAGGAGGAAAUAUGCAUCGGGUCUGGGAAGUUUGUAGAAGGAGUCCAAGGCCCUAGAUUUUUCUCCAGGAUGAGGUCACACUCCGUGUCAUCCCUCCUGUCGCUCUUACUACCGUCAUAUUCGCGUAUCUCGUCUCGUCGGGGAUCACUGAUGUCCAUGGAAACGUUGCCUCCACAUUAUGACGAUCUAUAGGACAUGUAACUAAAGGGUCGCUGGUUUGUGGGAGUUUUUGGGUAUCGAAGGCCUAAAAACACCAAUAUUUUUUAUGCAAUUUGAAGUUUUUAUUGAAUACAGGCUUCUAACAAAUGCUUGUAUGUAUGUAUAUGACUACUAUUAAUUUGAAUUUAAGGUUCUUUAAUAAAUCGUCUGUGUAUGUA